GGGGGCUUGACCAAAAAAAAACACUAUAGACGUCGGAGAAAGAGAUAGAGUGCACAACAACAAGAAAACCUUCGAUGGAUCAGAAGCUGGAACCCAAGGAGUAGAUGGCAAUUGGAAAAGAUAAGAAUAGUAAGAAGGUAAACCUAUAUAUACUGUCUAUUGACAGCCCAAAUUGGAACCCCGAGCGAUCAGAUGUUAGCUAUAUGGCCCAA
Molecule: long non-coding RNA, 212 nt
Filed under: Elaeis guineensis (African oil palm)
Lineage: Eukaryota; Viridiplantae; Streptophyta; Magnoliopsida; Arecales; Arecaceae
Description: long non-coding RNA (EGUI_LNC008614)
Source: RNAcentral